ACUGCUCAGUAACACGUGGAUAACCUGCCCUUGGGUCCGGCAUAACCCCGGGAAACUGGGGAUAAUUCCGGAUAACGCACAUAUGCUGGAAUGCUUUAUGCGUAAAAUGGAUUCGUCUGCCCAAGGAUGGGUCUGCGGCCUAUCAGGUAGUAGUGGGUGUAAUGUACCUACUAGCCAACAACGGGUACGGGUUGUGAGAGCAAGAGCCCGGAGAUGGAUUCUGAGACAUGAAUCCAGGCCCUACGGGGCGCAGCAGGCGCGAAAACUUUACAAUGCGGGAAACCGUGAUAAGGGGACACCGAGUGCCAGCAUCAUAUGCUGGCUGUCCAGGUGUGUAAAAUACACCUGUUAGCAAGGGCCGGGCAAGACCGGUGCCAGCCGCCGCGGUAACACCGGCGGCCCGAGUGGUGAUCGUGAUUAUUGGGUCUAAAGGGUCCGUAGCCGGUUUGGUCAGUCCUCCGGGAAAUCUGAUAGCUCAACUAUUAGGCUUUCGGGGGAUACUGCCAGGCUUGGAACCGGGAGAGGUAAGAGGUACUACAGGGGUAGGAGUGAAAUCUUGUAAUCCCUGUGGGACCACCUGUGGCGAAGGCGUCUUACCAGAACGGGUUCGACAGUGAGGGACGAAAGCUGGGGGCACGAACCGGAUUAGAUACCCGGGUAGUCCCAGCCGUAAACGAUGCUCGCUAGGUGUCAGGCAUGGCGCGACCGUGUCUGGUGCCGCAGGGAAGCCGUGAAGCGAGCCACCUGGGAAGUACGGCCGCAAGGCUGAAACUUAAAGGAAUUGGCGGGGGAGCACA
RNAcentral lists this ribosomal RNA (797 nucleotides) under uncultured archaeon. Its description in RNAcentral is "bacterial SSU rRNA". It matches the Rfam family "Archaeal small subunit ribosomal RNA", at positions 85 to 880 of the family's 1478-position model. The record is from RNAcentral.